UACGUAGGCAGCGAGCGUUGUUCGGAUUUACUGGGCGUAAAGGGUGCGUAGGCGGUUGUUUAAGUUUGGUGUGAAAUCUCCCGGCUCAACUGGGAGGGUGCGCCGAAUACUGAAUGACUAGAGUGCGGGAGAGGAUAGUGGAAUUCCUGGUGUAGCGGUGAAAUGCGCAGAUAUCGGGAAGAACACCCGUGGCGAAGGCGGCACUCUGGGACGGUACUGACGCUGAGACGCGAAAGCGUGGGGAGCGAACAGG
This 253-nucleotide ribosomal RNA is filed under the name uncultured bacterium. RNAcentral's name for it is "partial 16S ribosomal RNA". It matches the Rfam family "Bacterial small subunit ribosomal RNA", at positions 524 to 776 of the family's 1533-position model. The record is from RNAcentral.